ACAGCAGCCGCCGCGGUAAUACAGAGGGUGCAAGCGUUAAUCGGAAUUACUGGGCGUAAAGCGCGCGUAGGUGGUUCGCCAAGUUGGAUGUGAAAUCCCCGGGCUCAACCUGGGAACUGCAUCCAAAACUGGCGAGCUAGAGUAUGGUAGAGGGUGGUGGAAUUUCCUGUGUAGCGGUGAAAUGCGUAGAUAUAGGAAGGAACAUCAGUGGCGAAGGCGACCACCUGGACUGAUACUGACACUGAGGUGCGAAAGCGUGGGGAGCAAACAGGAUUAGAUACCCCUGUAGUCCCUGUCUCUUAUAC
This 305-nucleotide ribosomal RNA is filed under the name uncultured bacterium. RNAcentral describes it as "partial 16S ribosomal RNA". It matches the Rfam family "Bacterial small subunit ribosomal RNA", at positions 508 to 807 of the family's 1533-position model. The record is from RNAcentral.